CCGAGCCAUUAAAAUGUUAUUCUUCCAAGUCGUCCCGCGUUGCUAACAGGGGAAUGGAGACAAAGUGCAGUGUCACUUGGGCUUUGCCUAAAAUGAACGGAACCGUCCUCGGCUGGGCACAAUCGACUAAGUCUGAGUGCCUUACCCCAGCAUCUUCAUCCCUCCAUCAUCACUGACCUUACGGUUCCCGGCCUGUGUCCUCAGAGACCUGCCUUCCCUGGUCAUCGUGUCGCACGCCCAUACUUCCUGCCCUUCACGUGUGCUCCCGGGGUCCUUGGAACUGCUUCCGUGAAUGUCUGACCUGGUGUCGGUUCCCUCCUCUUUUUCUGUCUUAUGCCGGGUGUUGAGGAGUUAUCAGCACAGCGAACACCUCACAGCAAAGUGCAAAUGUUAGCGCAAGUCAGAUGGACAACCCAACAAGGAGUGUCCGACAGGAACUGGGGAAGAAAUGAGGAAGCGUUUCCUGUCAGGUUGAACCUCAUGAAAUUGCUGUUUUUCUGGGUAAACAACAACAAACAAACAAACACCAGUGGAACAUUGACAAUUUCAGGUGGCAUAGAGGAGUCUAAAGGCAGUCCACAGAGGGGGUCGGGGUAAAGGGCGUGGGGAAGGCAGAAGGGCGCCAUCCUGCUGGUUCACUUCCCUGUGGUGGGAGCAGAGGCCGUCUCCUCUGAAACAGUGGGCAUGAGUGGUGCAACGUUCAUGGUGGAGUUGCCGGCGGGUUGACGGGUGGAAACCUCUAAGAGGUGGUGCUGGUGUGGGUGCAGGAACAGAGGGAAACAGUCCAGGUCCUUGGAGGAACUGAGCAGGCAACGUGCCAAAAAAAAA
Molecule: long non-coding RNA, 828 nt
Organism: Mustela erminea (ermine)
Lineage: Eukaryota; Metazoa; Chordata; Mammalia; Carnivora; Mustelidae
Exons: 2
Source: RefSeq, a predicted model, not a curated record